RNAcentral lists this ribosomal RNA (253 nucleotides) under uncultured bacterium. Its description in RNAcentral is "partial 16S ribosomal RNA". It matches the Rfam family "Bacterial small subunit ribosomal RNA", at positions 524 to 776 of the family's 1533-position model. The record is from RNAcentral.
UACGUAGGCAGCGAGCGUUGUUCGGAGUUACUGGGCGUAAAGAGUGCGUAGGCGGUUUUCUAAGUCUGGUGUGAAAUCUCCCGGCUUAACUGGGGGGGUGCGCCGAAAACUGGAAGGCUUGAGUAUGGGAGAGGUAAGCGGAAUUCCUGGUGUAGCGGUGAAAUGCGUAGAUAUCAGGAGGAACACCUGCGGUGUAGACGGCUUACUGGACCAUAACUGACGCUGAGGCACGAAAGCGUGGGUAGCAAACAGG